UGCUUGUAGCUUCUGCUCCACUUCGGAGGGC
RNAcentral lists this non-coding RNA (31 nucleotides) under Homo sapiens (human). The record is from RNAcentral. Lineage: Eukaryota; Metazoa; Chordata; Mammalia; Primates; Hominidae.